Molecule: ribosomal RNA, 1887 nt
Filed under: bacterium (Candidatus Howlettbacteria) CG_4_9_14_3_um_filter_37_10
Lineage: Bacteria
Description: partial 23S ribosomal RNA
Rfam family: Archaeal large subunit ribosomal RNA (bases 1633-1870)
Source: RNAcentral
UCGCAUCCUGGGGCUGGAGAAGGUCCCAAGGGUUUGGCUGUUCGCCAAUUAAAGCGGUACGCGAGCUGGGUUCAGAACGUCGUGAGACAGUAAAACAAGGGAAUUGCUGUCUAUAAAUCUGGCUAUAUGCUGGAAACCCUGUCCUCUAAAAGGGGAAUAGAAUCUUGCACUACCUAGAAAGUUACUCAUAAUAAUAUUAGUAACUCGGGUGAAAAUGUGUCAAGUGCAGACAAUCAGCAGGAAAGGCUAGGCAACUACAUUGCAGGUUAUGUUGACGGGGAAGGUAGUUUUCAUGUUGGUAUUCGAAAAGUUUAAAUGUUAAACUUGGAUACCAGCUGGUUCCGGAAUUUCAUGUUAGUCAAAAUAGUGAUAGGAAUCAGGUCUUAAUGUUAAUUAAAGAGACAUUAGGAUGUGGUUAUAUAAAACCAAAUCAUAAAAAUAGACUAAAUGAUAAUUCGGAAGUGCUUGUCGUUAGAAAUCGAAAUGAUUUACUAACAAAAGUAAUACCUUUCUUUAAGGCAAACCCGAUAAUCUCUAGUAAGCAAAAGGAUUUUGAAACUUUUGCCGAAAUAGUAUAUUCCAUGGAAAAAGGUGAUCAUCUCAUAAGGAAAAGCUUAAUUAAUUUAAUUAAAAAAGCUUUUGCAACGAAUGGAGGUGGAAAAUAUCGUAAAUGGAAUAUAGAAAUUAUAACUGCAAGCCUAGAAUCCUCAGAGACUAUAUGCCAGAAUCCGGCAACUGCCGGAUAAGAUAUAGUCCGAGCUGCAUGGCGACAUGCAGAGUCUAGCAGAAAUGGCUAGGCCACUCCGAUUUAAAUCGGAGAAGUAACAACACUGUCGGUCCCUAUCUGUUAUGGGCGUUGAAAUUUGAAGGAAGCUGCUCCUAGUAAGAAAUUGCUACUUUACGGAGUAAUCCGUAAUGACAAUUCGGCUAAUAACGGUGAAGCCUUCAUAAAUUUAUUUGGCAACGGAAAAAUAACUGGUUUCGGUCAACCGGUUGUGAUAUAUUUGCUGAGGACCAUAUAAAUUUUUAAGGUAAUACCGUGGGAAGUCGUCUUAAAACUCAAUUGGCAUAUAUAGCGGGUUUUCUUGAUGGCGAUGGAAGCUUGAUGUUACAGAUAAAGAAGUGAAGCGACAAUGGUCGCGCAAGAUUUAUGGCAACUAUCUGUUUCUAUCAAGAUUCACGUCAUGACAAACCAUUGUUCUGGAUAAAAGAUAUUCUGAGUAUCGGAUACAUUUCAAAGAGAAAUGAUGGUAUCACAGAACUUAGAAUAAACGGCUAUAAGCAAGUAGAAAGAAUUUUAAAAUUGCUUAAACCAUUUAUCCAGUUUAAGGAGAUUCAAGCUGAUACACUUUUAAAAGCGACAAUGUUGCUUCAAAGUGAAAAUCUUGAAUCAAAAGAUUAUGAAAAACUUGUAGAAUAUAUGCUUAUAAUUCAAAACGAAAACUACAGAUCAAGAAAAAAGAAAACCAAAGAAGAAUUAUUAAAAGUUUUAGGAUUGACCCCGUAACGACUUGUCUCGCAAAGAGACGGACUUAUAUAAACUGGAAAGCCUUAAAAAGCAGGUUUAUAUGGGUAAUACGCCGACCCCUAAUCCGGCAUUGCCGGAAAGGGUGAAGAUAUAGUCUAUGCUCCUAGAAAUAGGGGAAGUACAUGACGAGAGGACCGGAGCGGACGAACCUCUGGUGUACCAGUUGUCCUGCCAAGGGCAUUGCUGGGUAGCUAACGUUCGGAAGGGAUAACCGCUGAAAGCAUAUAAGUGGGAAGCCCAUCCUAAGAUUAGAUUUCGUUACAGACUCCAUAUAGAACAUGUGGUUGAUAGGCUUUAGGUGUAAGUCCGGUAACGGAUUCAGCCGAGAAGUACUAAUAAGUCGAUGACUUGAUUUUUAA